CAGAACCACGACAGCUUUUCCAAAAUCCACAGAGCUUCUCCAAACUUGAUUGUGAUGCAAGCAAAAGCUAUGUCUAAGCACAGAUUUUACUGCCCUGUUUGCUGAUCCACAUGCAGAUACAGCUGUCUCUGUUGCAAGGAAAGCUCUUCUGAGGCCUAAUUGUGUACUGCCUCACACAGCUGUCAUAAACACUCAAGAAGAAAGGUGUAAGCUCCUUGGGAAAUUCCUGAAGAAGUAGCCCUUGAUAUGGCUGAUAGCCUCAUCCCAAGCAGGAGCAAACCUCCAGAGGUCUGCAGCCAGCUGGAACAGCCCACCUGGGAAAUAAAAGAAGAAAUGGGGCCAGCUGAAUCUUCAAUAUUUGCUCAGUCUGACUUGCAGGUAAACCACAAGCACCCAAUGUUAAGGAUGGAGGCGGCAUUCAGCAGAUAAAGAAGGGAGGUACAAGAACUCCUAUGCCUAUCCCUGACAAUCGGUCACUGAAGCAUUUAAUGGAAAUUCUGACAUCUGAGUCAAUAUAUAACUGUGAACCUUAAUAAUGAAACACACCUUGAGUUUUCAAAGUGGCUGGAAGUAUUUCAGAGGAAAGUUAAAUAGUAUUAAAGGAAA
This is a long non-coding RNA of Cyanistes caeruleus (blue tit), 606 nucleotides long. RefSeq lists it as uncharacterized. The record is from RefSeq and is a predicted model, not a curated record. Lineage: Eukaryota; Metazoa; Chordata; Aves; Passeriformes; Paridae.